RNAcentral lists this ribosomal RNA (456 nucleotides) under uncultured Actinomycetes bacterium. Its description in RNAcentral is "bacterial SSU rRNA". It matches the Rfam family "Bacterial small subunit ribosomal RNA", at positions 97 to 570 of the family's 1533-position model. Lineage: Bacteria; Bacillati; Actinomycetota; Actinomycetes. The record is from RNAcentral.
GGCGAACGGGUGAGUAACACGUGAGAAGCCUGCCCUAGAGACCGGGACAACCGUUGGAAACAACGGCUAAUACCGGAUGCCUUCACACGGUCGCAUGGCCGAGUGAAGAAAUGCUCAGGUGCUCUAGGAGGGUCUCGCGGCCUAUCAGCUAGUUGGUGAGGUAAUGGCUCACCAAGGCAUCGACGGGUAGCUGGUCUGAGAGGACGAUCAGCCACACUGGGACUGAGACACGGCCCAGACUCCUACGGGAGGCAGCAGUAGGGAAUCUUGCGCAAUGGGGGAAACCCUGACGCAGCAACGCCGCGUGUGGGAUGACGGCUUUCGGGUUGUAAACCACUUUCAGUGAUGACGAAAAUGACGGUAAUCACAGAAGAAGGUCCGGCCAACUACGUGCCAGCAGCCGCGGUAACACGUAGGGACCGAGCGUUGUCCGGAUUUAUUGGGCGUAAAGAGCUC